AACGAACGCUGGCGGCAGGCUUAACACAUGCAAGUCGAACGCAUCCUUCGGGGUGAGUGGCAGACGGGUGAGUAACGCGUGGGAACGUGCCCUUCAGUUCGGGAUAACCCAGGGAAACUUGGGCUAAUACCGGAUACGUGCGAGAGCAGAAAGAUUUAUCGCUGAAGGAUCGGCCCGCGUCUGAUUAGCUAGUUGGUGGGGUAAUGGCCCACCAAGGGGACGAUCAGUAGCUGGUCUGAGAGGAUGAUCAGCCACAUUGGGACUGAGACACGGCCCAAACGCCUACGGGAGGCAGCAGUGGGGAAUAUUGGACAAGGGGCGCAAGCCUGACCCAGCCAUGCCGCGUGAGUGAUGAAGGCCUUAGGGUUGUAAAGCUCUUUCGUCCGGGACGAUAAUGACGGUACCGGAAGAAGAAGCCCCGGCUAACUUCGUGCCAGCCGCCGCAGUAA
This 449-nucleotide ribosomal RNA is filed under the name uncultured bacterium. RNAcentral's name for it is "partial 16S ribosomal RNA". It matches the Rfam family "Bacterial small subunit ribosomal RNA", at positions 29 to 523 of the family's 1533-position model. The record is from RNAcentral.